This 543-nucleotide ribosomal RNA is filed under the name Spathius aff. psammenitus AZR-2017. Its description in RNAcentral is "eukaryotic LSU rRNA". It matches the Rfam family "Eukaryotic large subunit ribosomal RNA", at positions 387 to 730 of the family's 3401-position model. The record is from RNAcentral. Lineage: Eukaryota; Metazoa; Arthropoda; Insecta; Hymenoptera; Braconidae.
GUUCAAGAGUACGUGAAACCGUUCAGGGGUAAACCUGAGAAACCCAAAAGAUCGAAUAGGGAGAUUCAUCGUCAGCAUGUUUCGUAUAUGUAUGAGUUAUGAUGCGGGUUACUUUUGUAUUGCUUGCACAUUCUUGUAUAUUUAAUUGCGGAAUAUGUCGGCGUGCACUUCUCCCUUAGUAGAACGUCGCAACCCGUUGAGUGUUGGUUUAUGACCCGAGUGGGAGACUUUAACGUUUUUAACAUUGAAGACCCUUGGUGUUCUAACUGACUGUUCGACGGUACUCUUAUGGUAUUAAGUCGCAUAUUUUAUGCGUUCAUAUCUGUCACAAGUGAGGUCAAUUUUCUGACAGUACGGACCUUGUGCCGUCGUUGGAUUUGACCAGCUGUUGGUUGACGGUAUUCUAGAACAGAUUUAUACCGGUUGGCGAUGCUACUGCUUUGGGUACUUUCAGGACCCGUCUUGAAACACGGACCAAGGAGUCUAACAUGUGCGCGAGUCAUGGGAUUAUUUAAAUAACCUAAACGCGCAAUGAAAGUAAAG